UGGGGAAUUUUGGACAAUGGGGGAAACCCUGAUCCAGCCAUCCCGCGUGUGCGAUGAAGGCCUUCGGGUUGUAAAGCACUUUUGGCAGGAAAGAAACGUCGCGGGUUAAUACCCCGCGAAACUGACGGUACCUGCAGAAUAAGCACCGGCUAACUACGUGCCAGCAGCCGCGGUAAUACGUAGGGUGCAAGCGUUAAUCGGAAUUACUGGGCGUAAAGCGUGCGCAGGCGGUUCGGAAAGAAAGAUGUGAAAUCCCAGAGCUUAACUUUGGAACUGCAUUUUUAACUACCGGGCUAGAGUGUGUCAGAGGGAGGUGGAAUUCCGCGUGUAGCAGUGAAAUGCGUAGAUAUGCGGAGGAACACCGAUGGCGAAGGCAGCCUCCUGGGAUAACACUGACGCUCAUGCACGAAAGCGUGGGGAGCAAACAGGAUUAGAUACCCUGGUAGUCCACGCCCUAAACGAUGUCAAACUAGCUGUUGGGGCCUUCGGGCCUUGGUAGCGCAGCUAACGCGUGAAGUUGACCGCCUGGGGAGUACGGUCGCAAGAUUAAAACUUAAAGGGAAUUGACGGGGUCAUAGCUGUUUCCU
RNAcentral lists this ribosomal RNA (587 nucleotides) under uncultured bacterium. Its description in RNAcentral is "partial 16S ribosomal RNA". It matches the Rfam family "Bacterial small subunit ribosomal RNA", at positions 355 to 1375 of the family's 1533-position model. The record is from RNAcentral.